Haliotis rubra (blacklip abalone) is the source of this 372-nucleotide long non-coding RNA. RefSeq lists it as uncharacterized. NCBI's taxonomy places the organism in Eukaryota, Metazoa, Mollusca, Gastropoda, Lepetellida, Haliotidae. The record is from RefSeq and is a predicted model, not a curated record. The transcript is spliced from 3 exons.
ACUUAUAAGACUUCAGCUAUCGUGACAUCGUGUUCCUGAAGGUAAACGUCGACGUCAACAAGGAGACGGCUACCGCGUGCAACGUCACCUUCCUGCCCACCUUUAAAUUCUACAGGAGGAAGAGAGAGGUUGAUCAACUUGAAGGCGCAGACCAAUCAGAACUUGUAACAAAGAUACAGAAACAUAUGUGAUCUAUUCAUGAGACGUUUAACUCCUUUGGUCACCUUUGGAAACAUCAUGAGAAGACAGCAUCAAACAAUUGAAGCUCCGGUGUUAAAAGCAUGUUACCUCGUUGUUGGACGAUAUCAGCGAUGUAGAUCAUUUUCAGAUUCCAAAGGGACCUUCCCGUGCAGGAACAUGCAAGAGACAAUA